RNAcentral lists this ribosomal RNA (245 nucleotides) under uncultured Peptostreptococcus sp. Its description in RNAcentral is "partial 16S ribosomal RNA". It matches the Rfam family "Bacterial small subunit ribosomal RNA", at positions 111 to 355 of the family's 1533-position model. The record is from RNAcentral. Lineage: Bacteria; Bacillati; Bacillota; Clostridia; Peptostreptococcales; Peptostreptococcaceae.
UAACGCGUGGGUAACCUGCCCUAUACACAUGGAUAACAUACUGAAAAGUUUACUAAUACAUGAUAAUAUAUAUUUACGGCAUCGUAGAUAUAUCAAAGUGUUAGCGGUAUAGGAUGGACCCGCGUCUGAUUAGCUAGUUGGUGAGAUAACUGCCCACCAAGGCGACGAUCAGUAGCCGACCUGAGAGGGUGAUCGGCCACAUUGGAACUGAGACACGGUCCAAACUCCUACGGGAGGCAGCAGUC